Molecule: ribosomal RNA, 305 nt
Filed under: uncultured bacterium
Lineage: Bacteria
Description: bacterial SSU rRNA
Rfam family: Bacterial small subunit ribosomal RNA
Source: RNAcentral
UUGCUCCUACGGGGGGCAGCAGUGAGGAAUAUUGGUCAAUGGGAGAGAUCCUGAACCAGCCAAGCCGCGUGAGGGAAGACGGCCCUAUGGGUUGUAAACCUCUUUUGUCGGAGAACAAAACCCGGGACGUGUCCCGGACUGCGUGUAUCCGAAGAAAAAGCAUCGGCUAACUCCGUGCCAGCAGCCGCGGUAAUACGGAGGAUGCGAGCGUUAUCCGGAUUUAUUGGGUUUAAAGGGUGCGUAGGCGGAUUUUUAAGUCAGCGGCAAAAUGUCCGGGCUCAACCCGGGCCGGCCGUUGAAACUGG